CGUAGCAGAGCCCGCUACCUGGUGGUCCGGGAGGUGUGUGCUCCAGGUGUUUAGGGUUUCCUUGUAAGGCCGCGUUGGAAUCUUCCUGCACAUUGACGCGACCAUAUUCGCAUUGAGGCUUUAUCUCUGAAUAACCCUGGAAGAGGAGUGAGGUGUAAUUAAUAAAAAAGGCACAGGCGUUUAAAGCUGUAUCGCCCGCAGACUGUAGCGUCUCCCAGAUUUAUCUUGAUUGCGGAUUGUUUCCUUGAUGUUUUUUUGGACGAUUCUCGCUUAUCUGACAUGUCUUAGGAUGUCUAAGUCUCUUCCUCUUAAAAGGGAUCUCAGCUGUACAGAGAAGAUAAUGUGAAAAAAAAAAAAAACUAUGCACUCUUGAGGAUGGGAAAACCUAUCUUGGAUUUUUCCUGCCUGGGUCCUGAUUCCCUUGUGUAGUUCUAUCGUAAACACUUAAGAUCUCUGGGCUUCCAUUUUCUCUUUUUAAACAAGAUUGUGAAAAUUACAAUGUGUGAGCAUUGCCAAACUUUUCCUUAUGGAGACUGGUAUCUUCAAAUGAUGUGUGUUCUGUUAUUGGGAGCUUAUCUUCAAAGAAGUUUAUUGUUCUGUGCAAGUUCUCUGUACCUUGGGUUAAGACUGUCUCUACAGAUUGUUUUUCUGGGGUCCUUGAAGUUUCAAUUGCUUUUAAACCAGACCGGAGGGCAGCCCUCCUGCCCAACUGUAUGUUUGCAGGAAAGCUAAUAAAAUCUACAAGUCAUCUGAAGUUGAGUGAUUUCUUCAGGAUCAAGCAAAUGAGUAAAUGGGAGAGUCAGAAUUAUAGUCCAGGUAAUGUAUAACUUUAAGCCUCAGACCUUUCACCUAUCUCUAAACAAACAAGCCAACCAAAUAAACAUAUUCCCACCACCAAGCCAUCACCCCCAUUCUCUUUUUUAACACUGAUUCAAGAAGGAAAAAGUUCCUUAAUGGCAAGUCUUUGGCCUUUCAAUUUAGUUACUGUGUCAUUUGUGUACAUAUUUUUUUUUUUUUCAUUUGUGUAGUGAUCAGUUCACC
Talpa occidentalis (Iberian mole) is the source of this 1041-nucleotide long non-coding RNA. RefSeq lists it as uncharacterized. The record is from RefSeq and is a predicted model, not a curated record. Lineage: Eukaryota; Metazoa; Chordata; Mammalia; Eulipotyphla; Talpidae. The transcript has 3 exons.